Molecule: ribosomal RNA, 451 nt
Filed under: uncultured bacterium
Lineage: Bacteria
Description: SSU rRNA
Rfam family: Bacterial small subunit ribosomal RNA
Source: RNAcentral
AGAGCGAACGCUGGCGGCAGGCCUAACACAUGCAAGUCGAGCGCCCGUAGCAAUACGGGAGCGGCAGACGGGAUAGUAACACGUGGGAACGCGCCCUUCGGUUCGGAAUAACUCAGGGAAACUUGAGCUAAUACCGAAUACGCCCUUACGGGGAAAGAUUUAUUGCCGAAGGAACGGCCCGCGUCCGAUUAGCUAGUUGGUGAGGUAAUGGCUCACCAAGGCUACGAUCGGUAGCUGGUCUGAGAGGGUGACCGGCCACACUGGGACUGAGACACGGCCCCAGACUCCUACGGGAGGCAGCAGUGGGGAAUAUUGCACAAUGGGCGCAAGCCUGAUGCAGCAACGCCGCGUGAGGGACGACGACCUUCGGUUGUAACCUCUUUAGUAGGGAAGAAGCGAAAGUGACGGUACCUGCAGAAAAAGCACCGGCUAACUACGUGCCAGCAGCCGC